UGAGGAAUAUUGGUCAAUGGGCGAGAGCCUGAACCAGCCAAGUCGCGUGAAGGAAGACUGCCCGCAAGGGUUGUAAACUUCUUUUGUAUGGGAUUAAAGUCGUCUACGUGUAGACGUUUGCAGUUACCAUACGAAUAAGCAUCGGCUAACUCCGUGCCAGCAGCCGCGGUAAUACGGAGGAUGCGAGCGUUAUCCGGAAUUAUUGGGUUUAAAGGGUGCGUAGGUUGCAAGGGAAGUCAGGGGUGAAAAGCUAUAGCUCAACUAUGGUCUUGCCUUUGAAACUCUCUAGCUAGAGUGUACUGGAGGUACGUGGAACGUGUGGUGUAGCGGUGAAAUGCAUAGAUAUCACACAGAACUCCGAUUGCGCAGGCAGCGUACUACAUUACAACUGACACUGAAGCACGAAAGCGUGGGUAUCAAACAGGAUUAGAUACCCUGGUAGUCCACGCAGUAAACGAUGAAUACUAGAUCUAUGCGAUAUGACAGUAUGGGUCUAAGCGAAAGCGAUAAGUAUUCCACCUGGGGAGUACGCCGGCAACGGUGAAACUCAAAGAGAUUGGCGGGGGUCCGCACAAGCGGAGGAACAUGUGGUUUAAUUCGAUGAUACGCGAGGAACCUUACCCGGGAUUGAAAUGUAGAUGCAUGAGGCUGAGAGGUCUCUUCCCUUCGGGGCUUCUAUGUAGGUGCUGCAUGGUUGUCGUCAGCUCGUGCCGUGAGGUGUCGGCUUAAGUGCCAUAACGAGCGCAACCCGCGUCGAUAGUUACUAACGAGUUAAGUCGAGGACUCUAUCGAGACAGCCGUCGUAAGACGAGAGGAAGGAGCGGAUGACGUCAAAUCAGCACGGCCCUUACAUCCGGGGCGACACACGUGUUACAAUGGUAGGGACAGCGAGCAGCCAUCUGGCGACAGAGAGCUAAUCUAUAAACCCUAUCCCAGUUCGGAUCGGAGUCUGCAACUCGACUCUGUGAAGCUGGAUUCGCUAGUAAUCGCGCAUCAGCCAUGGCGCGGUGAAUACGUUCCCGGUCCU
RNAcentral lists this ribosomal RNA (1027 nucleotides) under unidentified. Its description in RNAcentral is "bacterial SSU rRNA". It matches the Rfam family "Bacterial small subunit ribosomal RNA", at positions 355 to 1381 of the family's 1533-position model. RNAcentral also lists the same sequence under 1 other name. The record is from RNAcentral.